Molecule: ribosomal RNA, 253 nt
Filed under: uncultured bacterium
Lineage: Bacteria
Description: partial 16S ribosomal RNA
Rfam family: Bacterial small subunit ribosomal RNA
Source: RNAcentral
UACGUAGGGGGCAAGCGUUGUCCGGAAUCAUUGGGCGUAAAGCGUGCGUAGACGGCUAUCUAAGUCGGGUGUGAAAGCCCCGGGCUCAACCUGGGAAUUGCAUUCGAGACUGAAUAGCUAGGGUACGGUAGAGGGAAGUGGAAUUUCCGGUGUAGCGGUGAAAUGCGUAGAUAUCGGAAGGAACAUCAGUGGCGAAAGCGACUUCCUGGACCAGUACCGACGUUCAGGCACGAAAGCGUGGGGAGCAAACAGG